This 1287-nucleotide ribosomal RNA is filed under the name uncultured bacterium. RNAcentral describes it as "partial 16S ribosomal RNA". It matches the Rfam family "Bacterial small subunit ribosomal RNA", at positions 94 to 1414 of the family's 1533-position model. The record is from RNAcentral.
AGUGGCGCACGGGUGAGUAACGCGUAGAUGAUCUACCCUCCAGUCUGGGACAACUCUUGGAAACGGGAGCUAAUACCGGAUAAAACCUUCGGGUUGAAAGAUUUAUCGCUGGGGGAUGAGUCUGCGUACCAUUAGCUUGUUGGUGGGGUAACGGCCUACCAAGGCUUCGAUCAGUAGCUGGUCUGAGAGGAUGAUCAGCCACACUGGGACUGAGACACGGCCCAGACUCCUACGGGAGGCAGCAGUGGGGAAUUUUCCGCAAUGGGCGAAAGCCUGACGGAGCAACGCCGCGUGAGGGACGAAGGCCUCUGGGCUGUAAACCUCUUUUCUCAAGGAAGAAGAUAUGACGGUACUUGAGGAAUAAGCCACGGCUAAUUCCGUGCCAGCAGCCGCGGUAAUACGGGAGUGGCAAGCGUUAUCCGGAAUUAUUGGGCGUAAAGCGUCCGCAGGCGGCUUUUCAAGUCUGCUGUUAAAGCGUGGAGCUUAACUCCAUCAUGGCAGUGGAAACUGAAAGGCUUGAGUAUGGUAGGGGCAGAGGGAAUUCCCGGUGUAGCGGUGAAAUGCGUAGAUAUCGGGAAGAACACCAGUGGCGAAGGCGCUCUGCUGGGCCAUUACUGACGCUCAUGGACGAAAGCCAGGGGAGCGAAAGGGAUUAGAUACCCCUGUAGUCCUGGCCGUAAACGAUGAACACUAGGUGUCGGGGGAAUCGACCCCUUCGGUGUCGUAGCUAACGCGUUAAGUGUUCCGCCUGGGGAGUACGCACGCAAGUGUGAAACUCAAAGGAAUUGACGGGGGCCCGCACAAGCGGUGGAGUAUGUGGUUUAAUUCGAUGCAACGCGAAGAACCUUACCUGGGUUUGACAUCCCCGGCCGACACUAGAGAUGGUGUUUUCUCUUCGGAGACCGGGUGACAGGUGCUGCAUGGCUGUCGUCAGCUCGUGUCGUGAGAUGUUGGGUUAAGUCCCGCAACGAGCGCAACCCUCACUUUUAGUUGCCAUCAUUAAGUUGGGCACUCUGAAAGAACUGCCAGUGAUAAGCUGGAGGAAGGUGGGGAUGACGUCAAGUCCUCAUGGCCCUUACGUGUUGGGCUACACACGUGCUACAAUGGCAUUUACAAUAGGAAGCAAGAUGGCGACGUCAAGCAAAUCCUAAAAAGAUGCCUCAGUUCGGAUUGUACUCUGCAACUCGAGUACAUGAAGCUGGAAUUACUAGUAAUCGCGGAUCAGCGCGCCGCGGUGAAUACGUUCCCGGGUCUUGUACACACCGCCCGUCACACCAUGGGAGUUGG